This 319-nucleotide unclassified non-coding RNA is filed under the name uncultured fungus. Its description in RNAcentral is "partial contains 5.8S ribosomal RNA and internal transcribed spacer 2". The stretch from base 1 to 133 matches the Rfam family "5.8S ribosomal RNA", at positions 22 to 154 of the family's 154-position model. Lineage: Eukaryota; Fungi. The record is from RNAcentral.
UGGUUCUGGCAUCGAUGAAGAACGCAGCGAAAUGCGAUAAGUAGUGUGAAUUGCAGAUUUAAGUGAAUCAUCGAAUUUUUGAACGCAUAUUGCGCCCUUUGGUAGUCCACUGGGCAUGUCUGUUCGAGCAUCAUAUGUACCCUGAAAACUCCGAAGCAAUGCUUCCUGCUGAGCCCGAGUUCUGGCCCUAGGGUAGAAUGGUUCUAAAAGUAAUACACGUGAUAGUGUGUGAUUUGCCGUUGCAGUACAUUGCAGCUGGCACGUUUCCCACUAUUCGUCUCUCAUGAAUGAUCUCGAAUCAGAUAGGAAUACCCGCUGA